Molecule: ribosomal RNA, 479 nt
Filed under: uncultured bacterium
Lineage: Bacteria
Description: partial 16S ribosomal RNA
Rfam family: Bacterial small subunit ribosomal RNA
Source: RNAcentral
AAUCAACGCUGGCGGCGUGCCUAACACAUGCAAGUCGAACGAGAAAGGGGCUUCGGCCCUGAGUAGAGUGGCGGACGGGUGAGUAACACGUGGGUGAUCUACCCUCCAGUGGGGGAUAACACAUCGAAAGGUGUGCUAAUACCGCAUGGAGUUCCGGUUGUCGCGAUCGGAAUGAAAGCAGCAAUGUGCUGGAGGAGGAGCCGGCGCCGGAUUAGCUAGUUGGUGGGGUAAUGGCCUACCAAGGCAACGAUCCGUAGCCGGCCUGAGAGGGGGACCGACCACACUGGAACUGAGACACGGUCCAGACUCCUACGGGAGGCAGCAGUGGGGAAUUUUGCGCAAUGGGGGAAACCCUGACGCAGCAACGCCGCGUGGACGAUGAAGGCCUUUGGGUCGUAAAGUCCUGUCAGCAGGGAAAAACACAAUGAUGGUACCUGCAGAGGAAGCUCCGGCUAACUUCGUGCCAGCCGCCGCUGUAA